Molecule: ribosomal RNA, 200 nt
Filed under: uncultured eukaryote
Lineage: Eukaryota
Description: partial 18S ribosomal RNA
Rfam family: Eukaryotic small subunit ribosomal RNA
Source: RNAcentral
AGCUCCAAUAACGUAUAUUAAAAUUGUUGCUGUUAAAAAACUCGUAAUUGGAUUUCUGCUGAGGACGACCGGUCCACCUCUGGGUGAGCAUCUGGCUCGCUUGGCAUCUUCUUGGAGAACGUAUCUGCACUUCAUUGUGUGGUGCGGUAACCAGGACUUUUUUAUUUUGAGGAAUUAAAAUGUUUCAAGCAGGCGUGCGC